RNAcentral lists this ribosomal RNA (492 nucleotides) under uncultured bacterium. Its description in RNAcentral is "partial 16S ribosomal RNA". It matches the Rfam family "Bacterial small subunit ribosomal RNA", at positions 29 to 507 of the family's 1533-position model. The record is from RNAcentral.
AGUGAACGCUGGCGGUAGGCCUAACACAUGCAAGUCGAACGGCAGCACAGUAAGAGCUUGCUCUUACGGGUGGCGAGUGGCGGACGGGUGAGGAAUACAUCGGAAUCUACUUUUUCGUGGGGGAUAACGUAGGGAAACUUACGCUAAUACCGCAUACGACCUACGGGUGAAAGCAGGGGAUCUUCGGACCUUGCGCGAUUGAAUGAGCCGAUGUCGGAUUAGCUAGUUGGCGGGGUAAAGGCCCACCAAGGCGACGAUCCGUAGCUGGUCUGAGAGGAUGAUCAGCCACACUGGAACUGAGACACGGUCCAGACUCCUACGGGAGGCAGCAGUGGGGAAUAUUGCACAAUGGGCGCAAGCCUGAUCCAGCCAUACCGCGUGGGUGAUGAAGGCCUUCGGGUUGUAAAGCCCUUUUGUUGGGAAAGAAAAGCAGCAGGUUAAUACCCCGCUGUUCUGACGGUACCCAAAGAAUAAGCACCGGCUAACUUCGUG